UUGAACGCUGGCGGCAUGCCUUACACAUGCAAGUCGAACGGCAGCACGGGAGCAAUCCUGGUGGCGAGUGGCGAACGGGUGAGUAAUAUAUCGGAACGUGCCCAGUCGUGGGGGAUAACGUAGCGAAAGCUACGCUAAUACCGCAUACGAUCUAUGGAUGAAAGCGGGGGAUCGCAAGACCUCGCGCGAUUGGAGCGGCCGAUAUCAGAUUAGGUAGUUGGUGAGGUAAAGGCUCACCAAGCCGACGAUCUGUAGCUGGUCUGAGAGGACGACCAGCCACACUGGGACUGAGACACGGCCCAGACUCCUACGGGAGGCAGCAGUGGGGAAUUUUGGACAAUGGGCGCAAGCCUGAUCCAGCAAUGCCGCGUACAGGAUGAAGGCCUUCGGGUUGUAAACUGCUUUUGUACGGAACGAAACGGUAAGCUCUAAUACAGUUUGCUAAUGACGGUACCGUAAGAAUAAGCACCGGCUAACUACGUG
RNAcentral lists this ribosomal RNA (483 nucleotides) under uncultured bacterium. Its description in RNAcentral is "bacterial SSU rRNA". It matches the Rfam family "Bacterial small subunit ribosomal RNA", at positions 30 to 507 of the family's 1533-position model. The record is from RNAcentral.